UUUUAUUUGAGAGUUUGAUCCUGGCUCAGGAUGAACGCUGGCGGCGUGCCUAACACAUGCAAGUUGAGCGAUUUACUUCGGUAAAGAGCGGCGGACGGGUGAGUAACGCGUGGGUAACCUACCCUGUACACACGGAUAACAUACCGAAAGGUAUGCUAAUACGGGAUAAUAUAUUUGAGAGGCAUCUCUUAAAUAUCAAAGGUGAGCCAGUACAGGAUGGACCCGCGUCUGAUUAGUUAGUUGGUAAGGUAACGGCUUACCAAGGCGACGAUCAGUAGCCGACCUGAGAGGGUGAUCGGCCACAUUGGAACUGAGACACGGUCCAAACUCCUACGGGAGGCAGCAGUGGGGAAUAUUGCACAAU
This 364-nucleotide ribosomal RNA is filed under the name Clostridioides difficile. RNAcentral's name for it is "bacterial SSU rRNA". It matches the Rfam family "Bacterial small subunit ribosomal RNA", at positions 1 to 372 of the family's 1533-position model. Lineage: Bacteria; Bacillati; Bacillota; Clostridia; Peptostreptococcales; Peptostreptococcaceae. The record is from RNAcentral.